UAGGGAAUCUUCCGCAAUGGGCGAAAGCCUGACGGAGCAACGCCGCGUGAGUGAUGAAGGUCUUCGGAUCGUAAAACUCUGUUAUUAGGGAAGAACAUAUGUGUAAGUAACUGUGCACAUCUUGACGGUACCUAAUCAGAAAGCCACGGCUAACUACGUGCCAGCAGCCGCGGUAAUACGAAGGUGGCAAGCGUUAUCCGGAAUUAUUGGGCGUAAAGCGCGCGUAGGCGGUUUUUUAAGUCUGAUGUGAAAGCCCACGGCUCAACCGUGGAGGGUCAUUGGAAACUGGAAAACUUGAGUGCAGAAGAGGAAAGUGGAAUUCCAUGUGUAGCGGUGAAAUGCGCAGAGAUAUGGAGGAACACCAGUGGCGAAGGCGACUUUCUGGUCUGUAACUGACGCUGAUGUGCGAAAGCGUGGGGAUCAAACA
RNAcentral lists this ribosomal RNA (427 nucleotides) under uncultured bacterium. Its description in RNAcentral is "partial 16S ribosomal RNA". It matches the Rfam family "Bacterial small subunit ribosomal RNA", at positions 355 to 774 of the family's 1533-position model. The record is from RNAcentral.